CCUACGGGUGGCAGCCGUGAGGAAUAUUGGUCAAUGGACGCGAGCCUGAACCAGCCAAGUAGCGUGAAGGAUGACUGCCCUACGGGUUGUAAACUUCUUUUAUAAAGGAAUAAAGUGAGGCACGUGUGCCUUUUUGUAUUUACUUUAUGAAUAAGGAUCGGCUAACUCCUUGCCAGCAGCCGCUGUAAUACGGAGGAUCCGAGCGUUAUCCGGAUUUAUUUGGUUUAAAGGGAGCGUAGAUGGGUUGUUAAGUCAGUUGUGAAAGUUUGCGGCUCAACCGUAAAAUUGAAAUUGAUACUGGCAGUCUUGAGUACAGUUGAGGUAGGCGGAAUUCGUGGUGUAGCGGUGAAAUGCUUAGAUAUCACGAAGAACUCCGAUGGCGAAGGCAGCUUACUAAACUGUGACUGACAUUGAUGCUCGAAAGUGUGGGUAUCAAACAGGAUUAGAUACCCUUGUAGUC
Molecule: ribosomal RNA, 460 nt
Filed under: uncultured bacterium
Lineage: Bacteria
Description: partial 16S ribosomal RNA
Rfam family: Bacterial small subunit ribosomal RNA
Source: RNAcentral